ACAGAGGUGGCAAGCGUUGUUCGGAAUUACUGGGCGUAAAGGGCGCGUAGGCGGCCCGUUAAGUCCCGUGUGAAAGCCCCCGGCUCAACCGGGGAACGGCGCGGGAAACUGGCAGGCUUGAGUUCGGGAGAGGGAAGCGGAAUUUCGGGUGUAGCGGUGAAAUGCGCAGAUAUCCGAAGGAACACCGGUGGCGAAGGCGGCUUCCUGGACCGACACUGACGCUGAGGCGCGAAAGCUAGGGGAGCAAACGGGAUUAGAUACCCCGGUAGUCCUAGCCCUAAACGAUGAACACUGGGUGUAGAGGGUAUGAACCCCUUCUGUGCCGAAGCUAACGCAUUAAGUGUUCCGCCUGGGGAGUACGGUCGCAAGGCUG
This 373-nucleotide ribosomal RNA is filed under the name uncultured bacterium. Its description in RNAcentral is "bacterial SSU rRNA". It matches the Rfam family "Bacterial small subunit ribosomal RNA", at positions 525 to 896 of the family's 1533-position model. The record is from RNAcentral.